GCCUGGGUGGCUCAGUCGGUUAAGCGUCUGACUUUGGCUCAGAUCAUGAUGUCGCAGUUUGUGAGUUCGAACCCUGUGUCAGGCU
This 85-nucleotide transfer RNA is filed under the name Felis catus (domestic cat). It matches the Rfam family "tRNA". Rfam says of the family: Transfer RNA (tRNA) molecules are approximately 80 nucleotides in length. The record is from Rfam by way of RNAcentral. Lineage: Eukaryota; Metazoa; Chordata; Mammalia; Carnivora; Felidae.